This is a long non-coding RNA of Alosa alosa (allis shad), 1047 nucleotides long. RefSeq lists it as uncharacterized. The transcript has 2 exons. The record is from RefSeq and is a predicted model, not a curated record. NCBI's taxonomy places the organism in Eukaryota, Metazoa, Chordata, Actinopteri, Clupeiformes, Clupeidae.
CUAUGCUAGCCCCAUGCAUUUCUAUGGAGUAUUUUGAGUGCUGUGUCUCCACAUUAGAAAGUCUCAGCCUACGUGCCUGCAUGCGUAUUGUGUCUCCUGCUCAAACAAAAUGUGUGCGCAUUAAUUUUGAUAAGUGUUCACUAAGUUACGUAAUACAAAAAUGUGAUAUAUGGCAAUAUAUGAACAUAUACAAAUAACAGGGACUUAUAAUUUUACUUAUAUGGACAUAUAUGUGAUUCAAAUAUUUAUGUCAAACAUAUAUUCAAAGCUGUAUGUCCAUACAUGCAUACAAAAUAUUUUAAUUUCCCAUAUAAGAUGCUUCAUAUACUAGAUCCAAUGAUUUGUUUUCCAAAUAUAUGGAGAAGUUUAUGUGUGAAUAUGUGACAGACUUAUGUAGUCUCCAUAUAUGGUGGCAUACAUAUCCAUACACUAGAUUCCACUAGGCCUACUUAUUUUCUAAAUAUAUGGAGAACUUUAUGUGUGAAUAUGUGGCAGACAUAUUUGUAGUCUCCAUAUAUGGUGGCAUAGCCUACAUAUCCAUACACUAGAUUCCAUUAGCCUACUUAUUUUCCAAAUGGAGAACUUAGUGUGAAUAUAUUUGUUUAUGUCACAGGUAUGGUGUCGACUAUGCUGCUCGGCAUCUUUUGCCUUAUGUGUCAAUGUUUUGGGUGGAGCAUUUGGGUUGCACCAUGUGCAUACAAAAAUGUGUGAGGCCAAAGCUCAUAAUGGAUGCUUGUCGUAUCUUGAUAUGCGCAUGCGCACACAGCAAUACCCAUUCCCCACCCUUGACUGACUUUUGAAGACCAACCACAGUGACUUCAACCGUCACUUUUCUGUCCUGUCAUGCAUCUGACUUUGUAAGCUGUACAAACUCUGCUGUCAUCAUAUCCAAGGUGGUGAUUUGUGAGGACUGCUGCCCUGAGAACACUGAGUGCAUUCUGCCAAAUCAAUGUGUGCCACUUCCAUACAGAGAAAAAAGGUUUCUACCUGGAGAGUUUACUCACUGUUUGUGUGGAAAAAAUAAACUUUAAUAAAAGGUUAAACAAA